UAAAUAUAGAUCCAAACCAAAGACCGUAGGUGACAUUAGUCUUAAAUAUCCUACCGAGGUUGGAAGAAGGUAUUCACUAACCUCAGAUAGUUAGAUUAUGAGCCUCCGUUCCUACCUUGGAGCGGAGGUAAUUUU
Molecule: small RNA, 135 nt
Filed under: uncultured Cetobacterium sp.
Lineage: Bacteria; Fusobacteriati; Fusobacteriota; Fusobacteriia; Fusobacteriales; Fusobacteriaceae
Description: Ribosomal protein L10 leader
Rfam family: Ribosomal protein L10 leader
About the family: This family is a putative r-protein leader autoregulatory structure found in B. subtilis and other low-GC Gram-positive bacteria.
Source: RNAcentral